Molecule: long non-coding RNA, 313 nt
Filed under: Equus caballus (horse)
Lineage: Eukaryota; Metazoa; Chordata; Mammalia; Perissodactyla; Equidae
Description: lncRNA (ENSECAG00000052927.1)
Source: RNAcentral
GAACAAGUGAGGAGAAUGGAAGGAGACCAGCCAGAAGGACCUAGCAUGGGUAGAGGAAAGCUUCCCCUCCCCUACAGUUUGGUGACGAAGAAGGGAUAAAAUUUAACUGGCUGGACACUGCUCACUCAGGGACUACUGCAGCUGAGAGAUCCUAGAACCUUGACAAGAGCCAGCAAGAAGUAAGAGUUCUUACCACAGCAGUCUCCCAGAUCUCUGCCUUCAGGGUCCAGUGGAAGUGAGAUUGGGAAUGUGUUUCUUAUUAAAUACCUAAUUGCUUGCUUCUACAAUAUAGGCCUAGCUUGGGAAGCCCACC